RNAcentral lists this ribosomal RNA (471 nucleotides) under uncultured bacterium. RNAcentral describes it as "bacterial SSU rRNA". It matches the Rfam family "Bacterial small subunit ribosomal RNA", at positions 34 to 518 of the family's 1533-position model. The record is from RNAcentral.
CGCUGGCGGCGUGCUUCAUACAUGCAAGUCGAACGAGAACCGGUAGCUUGCGUAUCGGGGAAAGUGGCGGACGGGUGAGUAAAAUGUAGGUAAUCUGCCUUUAAGCGGGGGACAACAGUUGGAAACGAUUGCUAAUACCCCAUAUGAGAUAUGUUGAGAUAUAUAUCUUGAAAAACUCCGGUGCUUAGAGAUGAGCCUGCAUCUGAUUAGCUAGUUGGGGGUGUAAUGGACCACCAAGGCGACGAUCAGUAGCUGGUUUGAGAGGAUGAUCAGCCACAAUGGGACUGAGACACGGCCCAUACUCCUACGGGAGGCAGCAGUAGGGAAUUUUGCGCAAUGGGGGGAAAAACCCCCUGACGCAGCAACGCCGCGUGAAUGAGACGGCCUUCGGGUUGUAAAGUUCUGUCACAGGGGACGAAAAAUGACGGUACCCUGAGAGGAAGCACCGGCUAACUCCGUGCCAGCCGCCGC